UACGGGGGGGGCAAGCGUUGUUCGGAAUUACUGGGCGUAAAGGGCUCGUAGGUGGCCAAUUAAGUCAGGCGUGAAAUCCCCAGGCUCAACUUGGGAACUGCGUCUGAUACUGGUUGGCUUGAAUUCGGGAGAGGGAUGCAGAAUUCCAGGUGUAGCGGUGAAAUGCGUAGAGAUGUGGAGGAACACCGAUGGCGAAGGCAGCCUCCUGGGCCAAUACUGACGCUCAUGCACGAAAGCGUGGGGAGCAAACAGG
This 253-nucleotide ribosomal RNA is filed under the name uncultured bacterium. RNAcentral describes it as "partial 16S ribosomal RNA". It matches the Rfam family "Bacterial small subunit ribosomal RNA", at positions 524 to 776 of the family's 1533-position model. The record is from RNAcentral.